This 386-nucleotide ribosomal RNA is filed under the name uncultured bacterium. Its description in RNAcentral is "bacterial SSU rRNA". It matches the Rfam family "Bacterial small subunit ribosomal RNA", at positions 29 to 416 of the family's 1533-position model. The record is from RNAcentral.
AUUGAACGCUGGCGGCAUGCCUUACACAUGCAAGUCGAACGGCAGCACGGGAGCAAUCCUGGUGGCGAGUGGCGAACGGGUGAGUAAUAUAUCGGAACGUGCCCAGUAAUGGGGGAUAGCCCGGCGAAAGCCGGAUUAAUACCGCAUACGACCUACGGGUGAAAGCGGGGGAUCGCAAGACCUCGCGUUAUUGGAGCGGCCGAUAUCAGAUUAGCUUGUUGGCGGGGUAAAAGCCCACCAAGGCGACGAUCUGUAGCUGGUUUGAGAGGAUGAUCAGCAACACUGGGACUGAGACACGGCCCAGACUCCUACGGGAGGCAGCAGUGGGGAAUAUUGCGCAAUGGGCGAAAGCCUGACGCAGCGACGCCGCGUGGGUGAUGAAGGCC